RNAcentral lists this long non-coding RNA (419 nucleotides) under Triticum aestivum (bread wheat). RNAcentral's name for it is "long non-coding RNA (TAES_LNC027517)". Lineage: Eukaryota; Viridiplantae; Streptophyta; Magnoliopsida; Poales; Poaceae. The record is from RNAcentral.
UCCACCACGGCGGUCUUGCCCACGCCGGGCUCGCCGAUCAGGACGGGGUUGUUCUUGGUGCGCCGCGACAGGAUCCGCACCACGCGCCGGAUCUCCUCGUCGCGGCCGAUGACCGGGUCCAGCUUGCCCGCCACCUCCACGAGGUCGCGGCCGUACGUCUUGAGGGCCUGGAAGUUGGUGUCCCCCGACGCGGACUCCACGCGCCGGUUGUCGCCUCCCCGGAGCUUCUCGACCUCUGCCUUCACCCGCGCGGCGGAGAUGCCGGCCUCCUUGAGCGCGUCGGAGAUCUGUGGGUCCUCGAGGAGGCCCAUGAGCAGCUGGUCGACGGCGAGGUGCGAGUCGCCGCGCGACUUCUGCGCCGACUGCGCGCGGCGGACGGCCUUGACCAGCGAAGUGGAGGCCGGGACGGUGUCGGGCGG